GAAAGGAAACCAACCGGGAUUGCCCCAGUAACGGCGAGUGAAGCGGCAAGAGCUCAAAUUUGAAAUCUGGCCCCUCCGGGGUCCGAGUUGUAAUUUGCAGAGGAUGCUUCGGGUGCGGCCCCUGUCUAAGUGCCCUGGAACGGGCCGUCAGAGAGGGUGAGAAUCCCGUCUUGGGCAGGGUGCCCGUGCCCGUGUGAAGCUCCUUCGACGAGUCGAGUUGUUUGGGAAUGCAGCUCUAAAUGGGUGGUAAAUUUCAUCUAAAGCUAAAUACCGGCCGGAGACCGAUAGCGCACAAGUAGAGUGAUCGAAAGAUGAAAAGCACUUUGAAAAGAGAGUUAAACAGCACGUGAAAUUGUUGAAAGGGAAGCGCUUGCGACCAGACUCGGCCUCGGGGUUCAGCCAGCAUUCGUGCUGGUGUACUUCCCCGGGGCCGGGCCAGCGUCGGUUCGGGCGGCCGGUCAAAGGCCCCAGGAAAUGUAUCGUCCUCCGGGACGUCUUAUAGC
Molecule: ribosomal RNA, 503 nt
Filed under: Aspergillus sp.
Lineage: Eukaryota; Fungi; Ascomycota; Eurotiomycetes; Eurotiales; Aspergillaceae
Description: partial large subunit ribosomal RNA
Rfam family: Eukaryotic large subunit ribosomal RNA
Source: RNAcentral